UGUGCUAGGGAGAUUUAUUUGUUGAUUGAGGUCACAUAUCACUAAACUUUAAUCUGAAAGUUGGACGUGUAGAACUAGAUUUGUUUGACCGUUCCUUCCAUUUCUGGUGAAAACCAUUUGAUCUUGAUGUUGUAAUCUAAGGGAGGGCGCCCCCCCCCCCCAUAAAAUUCUGUGAUUAUUUGAUAAUAUAAUAAUUAAUAUAAGGGUUGUUGUACACCAUGUGGACGCGCUUGC
This 234-nucleotide long non-coding RNA is filed under the name Elaeis guineensis (African oil palm). RNAcentral's name for it is "long non-coding RNA (EGUI_LNC082738)". Lineage: Eukaryota; Viridiplantae; Streptophyta; Magnoliopsida; Arecales; Arecaceae. The record is from RNAcentral.